This 2536-nucleotide ribosomal RNA is filed under the name Triticum aestivum (bread wheat). RNAcentral describes it as "partial small subunit ribosomal RNA". Lineage: Eukaryota; Viridiplantae; Streptophyta; Magnoliopsida; Poales; Poaceae. The record is from RNAcentral.
CCUCCUCCUCCUCCUCCACCUCCAUUCCCAAGCGAUGGCGCCCACGGCCGCGGUUUUCUCCCCCAGCCACCAUGGCUGCAGAUCCACCCACGGCCGAUCGUCUAAGUUGCAAGCAUGGAUGGAUGGAUCCAGGAAGGUAUCCUUCCUCCCUAGGUGGAGCUAGCUGCAGAUCCCGUUCGGCCCUCUAGAGUCGGCCAUCUCCGCCUCCUCCUCGCCGCCGCCGCCACCGAGGAUCACGUCUUCACCAAGCGCGAGCUCCGCCCCAUCUGACCGACCGCAAAGGGGUGAGUUUUCUUCAUCCCGAACCCUCCCGAUUUGCUUACUGCACUCUUGCCAUUCCAAUGGAGACCAACCUCCUCUGGAUGACCCCCAACUCUGCAUCUCUCUCCCAAUUACCCUCACCCCGCCAGUUUGUUGCGGGUUGUCCAUUGUAAAUUUUCAAGGAGAUUCAAAUGUUCCUCUUCUGGCCGAUUUAAGAUACUACUUGGUCCAAUUUUGCCACAAAAAAUAAUGCUAUCUUGUCAUAGAUUACACGUAUAUGCUUAUGAGAAUUUUCAUGUUUGUUAGAUUAAAAAAACUAUAUUUUCUCCUUUUAGCCAGUGGUUAAUUUAGCAGAGCGUUAGCAUAGUAUUGGUCUGAUCAGCGGGAUGAUGAUCACGAAGUCCUGUUGAUAAUCAUCAUGUUGUGAUUUUUCAGUGUCCAAUAGAACUUGUAGUGUCCUCAAAUCAGCAAAGAUAGUAGCAGUUUCUAGUAGACCUUUUAUACGGUGAUAUUGGUUAACAUAUUGAUUUGUUAAUAUUUUUUAAGUAUAAAAGCUAAUUGUAAUCUGCACAAGAGCCAAACCUGCAGAAGGUUAGAGUGCAUGCAGCAGUUUCAGAACCUAGGGAAACUUGCCUGACUGGUCUCUUUAAUAUUUAGUGAGUCUGUCCAUGCACUUUUAGUUCUACUCACCACUAAAGAUAUCUACAACUUACAUGUUGAACGCAUAGUUUAAUUCGAACAGUAACAUGGUCUAAGUCCGCAUACAAGGUUACUGUACACAGAAUCAUAUAAAGAUUAAUUUUUGGACUGUGAAACUAAAUUGGACUGCUACUUUUAAACCGUACAUCAAAAUAGUGCAAAUAGAUAGUCUGUAGAAAGCAUGGGACGUAUCUCUCCUUUUUUUGCGAUUGAUCUCCACAUUAUGUUUGGAGUCCAAGUCAAAAUUAUGCAGUUUUUGAUAGAGGAUUUGGAAAGACCGAAUCUGUUUAGUAGGUGGAUUACCCAAAAUAGUUCACUUCAUCCAACCCAACCUCACAUCACUGUGGAAAGUUUGUAGCACUUAUUUUAUAUGCAGAGCACUUGUGAACUAGGAUUUUGACCAAAAGAUUUCGAGUGUUUUGUGUGAGCUUGCAUUGCAGGGAUACUUGAAGCUAGGGCAAUCCAAGUAAGAUAGCUUCAUCCUCAGACAACAGGUUUAUGUUAUCUUAUCAUGGAGUCAUUUUUAAGUUUGUGCCCAACGCCUUCAUCCUUAGAAUGGCCACCCAGAUGGCAAGCCACCAUACUCAGGCGACUGUCGCGCUAGCUGGGUGCUCCAACUUUUGAUGCUGGCGAAGCUUUUGGAAUGAUGGCUGCAUCAUUUGUUAGUCUCCGUUGGAAGCUUAAUUAAACUGAGCUUCUCUGAAGGUUCAGAUGUGUGGCAAAGGAUUUCAAUUUUCCUGUUUACACAAAGGAAACUUGAAGAAGGUUCAGACUUCUCAUGCUCGGUGUUGUGCUCUCAAGGUUACAUAGACAAAAAAGCCUCCUAUUUACACAACGGCAACCCGACGAAGGAUGACGGGGUGGGGCGGGAGGCGGGGAAAGCCAUCCAUGGCGAUCCUGGCGGCGUUGCUAAUGGCGUCAGUGGCACUGCCGCUCCUCAUGGUGCCCGACAUGCUCUCUAUGCCAUGCUCUGACGGCAUGGAUCGCGGCGCCGCCCUGUCGCUCCCACGCCCGCGCUUCAGCAGAUCCGCGAGGCUGGAGAAGAGCAGGGAGAAAGGGGAGUCGUGUAUGGAGGUUCUGUACUUUUGUUGUAUCAACAUCUUCUCCGUUUGUCCUACAUGGCCGAGCGAGAUCGAAGCUAGCCGCCGGUAAUGUUCUUCUCCCGUGCAAGUUCUGCACUGCACUAAAGCAUCCAACACAUGGAACGGAGGGAGUAGGUGGUACAUCAACCAAGUAUGUUUCAAGGUGAGACAUCCAUCAAGUUUGUUUGGAGGCACAGGUCAAGCAUCAGAACAGUAUGUUGUACUAUUUGGUUUCAUCGGUCAAUAUGGAAAUUCAACUAGCAAGGCACUGGAACAUAGAACAACUUCAGAUGUACCUCUACCCCAUCUAGAUGACCUACAUUACCGAGGGAUUCCAGAUAUAUGUAAAGCUAUACAUGGCAAAGAUCAUGCGUACUCACUAUGACAUUGUAUAUACAUAAUGAUUAUUUUUGUCUGGUAUGGCGCUGUAAAUAAAUGAACCCGAGGCGAGUUUGAUUGUUUCGCUGGUUUUUGCAAGCAUAUUUCUAAGGCGC